AUGAGGAAGUCGAGGAUCAAAGAGAAGUAUCUUGCUCAAGGUCACAGCCAGGAAGCGGUGAAAAUAGGAUCUGAACUUAAGUCUGGUUGGAAGUCUAUAUGCUUUCUAAUGCGCCUCCGUGUCACCUCUGUGUCAUUGUGUGGAAUAUUUGAAGAUCAUGCUUCACAAUCUGUUGCCCAGGGUACAAGACAGCCUUUAUAUGAAGAAUAUCUCAGUGAAUGUUGUCGUGAAUAUUUGCCCUUGGGAUCUGCCGAGGAAGGGCCUGACAUUUUAAGAGUUGUGUCCUCGGUACACGUGGGUGACAUUGUGCAGGCCUCAAAUGAGCAGUUCCCUCCUGCAGACAUGGUCCUGAUUUCUUCCAGUGAACCUCAGUCAGCAUGUUAUGUUUCAACAUCUAAUCUGGAUGGGGAGACAAAUCUAAAAAUACAUCAGGCUUUGUCAGAAACAGCUGAAAUGCAAACAGAAAAGCAGUUGUCAAACCUAUCUGGAAAAAUAGAAUGUGCAGGACCUCAUUGUCAUUUCAAUAGCUUUGUGGGAACCUUGUGCCUAAGUGGUAAAAGCCCCCUUCCACUUGGGCCUGACCAGGUCGUGCUAAGAGGUACACAGCUUAAAAAUACUUGGUGGAUCCUUGGCAUAGUUGUUUACACUGGAUUUGAAACGAAAUUCAUGCAGAAUUCAGUCAAAUCGCCUCUCAAGAGGUCAAAGGUGGAGAAACUGGCCAACGUGCAGAUCCUGGCGCUGUUCGUGCUGCUCUUGGCGAUGUCCUUGGUGAGCUGUGUGGGAGCCUUUCUCUGGAAUCGAAGGUAUGGAGCAGACAUUUGGUACAUCAGGAAGAAGGGUGAGUAUUACAAUUCCCACAACUUUGGGUUUGAUUUAUUGGUGUUCAUUACCUUGUACCACAAUCUCAUCCCCAUUAGUAUGCUGGUCACUCUGGAAAUGGUGAAAUAUGUUCAGACCCUGUUUAUAAACUGGGAUGACGAUAUGCAUUAUAAAGAAAACAAUGUCUACGCCAUGGCCAGAACAUCGAAUCUUAAUGAAGAGCUUGGGCAGGUAAAAUACUUAUUUUGUGAUAAAACGGGAACCCUCACUUGCAAUAUUAUGACAUUUAAGAAGUGUACCAUUGCAGGUAUAAUUUAUGGUCAGCCGCCUUCUCCCAUCACAGACUCCUGUGAAUUUGAUGACCCAACAUUAUUGCAGAACUUGGAGAGUAACCAUCCCAUGAAAGACUAUAUAAAGGAAUUUCUUACCCUGUUGUGUGUGUGCCACACUGUUGUUCCUGAGACAGAUGGAAAUGAUAUAAUCUACCAAGCUUCCUCCCCAGAUGAAGCAGCUUUAGUGAAAGGAGCAAAGAAACUCGGCUUUGUUUUCACUACAAGAACGCCGUAUUCUAUCAUCAUAGAAGCUAUGGGAGAAAACUUAACGUAUGAAAUUCUUAACGUCCUGGAGUUUUCUAGUAAUAGAAAAAGGAAGUCUGUAAUUGUCCGAACUCCUGCAGGACAGCUCCGGCCCUACUGCAAAGGGGCUGAAUUUCUGCUACUUGGAGCCACAGCCAUUGAAGAUUGCCUUCAAGCACGUGUUCCAGAAACGAUAACCAACUUACUGAAAGCAGACAUUAAAAUAUGGGUCCUGACAGAAGAUAAACAAGAAACUGCAAUUAACAUAGGCUACAGUAAGAAAUGUGUAGGGGAUGGGGCCAGCCCUGUGGUCGAAAAUGAAAAAAAUUUAGAAGCAACACAGGAAAUGAUUAAUCAGAACUGUCAAGAUCCUGGAGCCUUGUUAGGUAAAGAAAAUGACCUGGCGCUAAUCAUUGAUGGUGAGACAUUGAGAUAUGCCCUCCGUUUUGAAGUUAAGAGGUGCUUCCUCAGUUUGGCCUUCUCAUGUAGAGCAGUACUGUGCUGUAGGUUAUCUCUUCAGAAGGCUGAAAUAGUGGACUUGGUUAAGAAGCAUGUAAGGGCCAUCACUCUUGCCAUUGGGGACGGUGCCAACGAUGUUGGGAUGAUCCGGAUGGCCCACGUGGGUGUGGGAAUCAGUGGAAACGAGGGCAUGCAGGCGUCCAACAACUCAGAUUAUGCCAUCGCACGGGUCAGCGAUGUGGGCAUGGAGAGUAUUGAAGACCUUGGGUCCAUCCCCGAGGAGCCUUAUGUAAUUGUUGAGCAGCUCCUAGGAAUAACCUGGUACUCUGGGGAGGCCACGCCUGCUGGGGCUGUUCCUAUGGUGGCUGUCUCUGAGAGGCUAGAUGAUUUAGUAAUCUGUCCACAGGUGUUUUGGAUUCGCUGUCUAAGUGCUUUGGUCCAUUCCUUCAUCCUCUUCUGGUUGCCCACAAAAAUGGUGGAGCAUGAUAUGGUCUUACGAGGUGGUCACACUACAGACUAUUUGUUUCUUGGAAAUUUUAUUUAUACAUAUGUAGUUGUUACUGUUUGUCUGAAAGCUGGUUUGGAGACACUGUCUUGGAAUAAAUUUUGUCAUUUGGCAGUCUGGGGAAGCGCAGUGAUAUGGCUGGUGUUCCUUGCAGUUUACUCUUCCCUCUGGCCCACCGUUCCUAUUGGUUCCGAAAUGACGGGACAGAAAUGGGAGAAAACCCUUGUACCCCGAGGCCUGGGGCAGCCCAAGGCCCAGGAAAUAAGAAUUCUGAGAGACUUCCUCUUUCAGCCAGGACCAAGUGUUGGAAUAGCCUGA
Molecule: non-coding RNA, 2676 nt
Organism: Equus caballus (horse)
Lineage: Eukaryota; Metazoa; Chordata; Mammalia; Perissodactyla; Equidae
Source: RefSeq, a predicted model, not a curated record